CCAUCAGCAGUUCUGCUCUUGGUCUGUGAGUGUGAUUUAGGUUUCAAUUCUGAUUGUGGGUUCGACUCGCUGUCUUGGUCUUGUGGUUUG
Molecule: long non-coding RNA, 90 nt
Organism: Sinocyclocheilus grahami
Lineage: Eukaryota; Metazoa; Chordata; Actinopteri; Cypriniformes; Cyprinidae
Exons: 3
Source: RefSeq, a predicted model, not a curated record